RNAcentral lists this ribosomal RNA (1383 nucleotides) under Triticum aestivum (bread wheat). Its description in RNAcentral is "partial small subunit ribosomal RNA". The record is from RNAcentral. Lineage: Eukaryota; Viridiplantae; Streptophyta; Magnoliopsida; Poales; Poaceae.
CUGCCGCCGCGCAACAAGUCAUCGCCGUCCAACAUCGAUAUCGGCCAGGAUGAGGACAUGAUCAGCACGCUUCCCGACCACCUCCUCCUCGGAAUCCUCGAACGCCUCCACCUGCGUGAGGCGCUCCGUAUCGGCGCCGCCUCCACGCGCUGGCGCCACCUCCCACACCAGCUCUCGCACCUAGAGCUCGGGGUCGACCAGUUCCAUGGCGCCACGCCGGUCGAGAUCAUGGACGCGUUCACGGGCGCGGUACGGAGGUUGCUCUCCGUGUCUCCUCCUCCGUGCCCCGCCUGCAGUCGUGCUAUCAAGACCCUCGUCCUACGCUUCUACAUGUUGGACCCUCUGCAACUGAGCUCCAUCAGCGGCGGCGUUGAGGACGUCGUCAGCCGCGGCGAGACCGAAUGGCUCGAGUUUUAUAUAUUACCGCCGGUCUCGACCACCGACGACACCACUCAGCUGCUCGCCAAGAUGGGGCAGGCGGAGCGGUUCAUGUCCUUCUCCCGUGCCUGCCCCGUCGCCUUCCGGUGGCUCACCAGGCUAACCCUCGAGAACCUAGCGUUUGGAGAGGAUGACGUCGCGGGCCUUAUUAAAGCUUGUGAUAAGCUCAAGCACCUCAUCCUGAAAUCUUGCAGACUGGUUGAUCAUCACUCCGCACUCAAGAUCGACACGCCGUGCUCCGGGCUCCAGGAGCUUCGGUUCAUUGACUUUGCUUGCACAUGUAUCGAGCUCAUCUCCGUCCCCAAGCUAAGAGAAAUAUGGUGCUGGUCUUGGCCCUGCGAGAGCCCUCCGGUGCACUUCGGCCACGUUCCCCAACUUCUUCAAGUGAACCUCGGUUCACGUGCUGGGGUGUGGCAGGCGCCAUUUGCGCUAAGCGAAUGCUUGAGUGCCACCAAUCUGUCAAGAUUGUAUCUCAAUUUUGGUUGCGAAAUGAUUUGGAUUCAACCAGAACAUCCUAAGCACCUCACUACAAUAUUCAGAAACCUGACCGAGGUGUAUCUUUACUAUAUCUUUCCCGAGUGCGAUCUGAACUGGACCAUGUUUCUCGUCGAAGCUGCACCUGCCCUACUGAAUUUUACAUUGCUUCGAAAUCAACAUCCAUGUGUCAAACCGUCUGCACACAGUGCCCAGAAGACCAACAUGUUGUGGGAACCAUCCAAGGAUUGGAAGCACCUGAACUUGAAGUUACUGGUGAUGGCAGGGUUCGAGGAGGAAGACAAGGUGACAAACUAUCUAAGGCUGUUCAUGGAACGAGCCGUGGGCUUGAAGAGAAUCGAGCUGCGUGGUAAACACCCUUGUGAUAAGUGCAAUGCCAUGGACCUUGAACUUGAGUCCACAAGAUCCCUUGUUGACAAAGCUAGCAGGUAUCGGAUUAAGGAGCGACUC